GAGUGAACGCUGGCGGUCGGCCUACCACCUGCAAGUCGAACGGCAGCCCAGUAAGAGCUUGCUCUUACGGGUGGCGAGUGGCGGACGGGUGAGGAAUACAUCGGAAUCUACUUUUUCGUGGGGGAUAACGUAGGGAAACUUACGCUAAUACCGCAUACGACCUACGGGUGAAAGCAGGGGAUCUUCGGACCUUGCGCGAUUGAAUGAGCCGAUGUCGGAUUAGCUAGUUGGCGGGGUAAAGGCCCACCAAGGCGACGAUCCGUAGCUGGUCUGAGAGGAUGAUCAGCCACACUGGAACUGAGACACGGUCCAGACUCCUACGGGAGGCAGCAGUGGGGAAUAUUGGACAAUGGGCGCAAGCCUGAUCCAGCCAUACCGCGUGGGUGAAGAAGGCCUUCGGGUUGUAAAGCCCUUUUGUUGGGAAAGAAAAGCAGCAGGUUAAUACCCCGCUGUUCUGACGGUACCCAAAGAAUAAGCACCGGCUAACUUCGUG
RNAcentral lists this ribosomal RNA (493 nucleotides) under uncultured bacterium. Its description in RNAcentral is "partial 16S ribosomal RNA". It matches the Rfam family "Bacterial small subunit ribosomal RNA", at positions 27 to 507 of the family's 1533-position model. The record is from RNAcentral.